RNAcentral lists this ribosomal RNA (829 nucleotides) under uncultured archaeon. RNAcentral's name for it is "bacterial SSU rRNA". It matches the Rfam family "Archaeal small subunit ribosomal RNA", at positions 41 to 878 of the family's 1478-position model. The record is from RNAcentral.
UGAUUAAGCCAUGCGAGUCGAGAGGGUUCGGCCCUCGGCGUACUGCUCAGUAACACGUGGAUAACCUGCCCUAGGGAAGGGGAUAAUCCCGGGAAACUGGGGAUAAUACCCUAUAGGUUACAGAUGCUGGAAUGCUCUGUAAUCAAAAGUUCCGGCGCCCUAGGAUGGAUCUGCGGCCGAUUAGGUUGUUGUUGGGGUAAUGGCCCAACAAGCCAGUAAUCGGUACGGGUUGUGGGAGCAAGAGCCCGGAGUUGGAUUCUGAGACACGAAUCCAGGCCCUACGGGGCGCAGCAGGCGCGAAAACUUUACAAUGCGGGCAACCGUGAUAAGGGAACCUCGAGUGCCUGCAAAUGCAGGCUGUUCAGAUGCCUAAAACACAUCUGGAGAAAGGGCCGGGCAAGACCGGUGCCAGCCGCCGCGGUAAUACCGGCGGCUCGAGUGGUGGCCACUUUUAUUGGGCUUAAAGCGUUCGUAGCUGGGUUGUUAAGUCUCUUGGGAAAUCUGGCGGCUUAACCGUCAGGCGUCUAAGGGAUACUGGCAAUCUUGGAACCGGGAGAGGUGAGGGGUACUUCGGGGGUAGGAGUGAAAUCCUGUAAUCCUCGAGGGACCACCUGUGGCGAAGGCGCCUCACCAGAACGGCUUCGACAGUGAGGGACGGAAGCUGGGGGAGCAAACCGGAUUAGAUACCCGGGUAGUCCCAGCCGUAAACUAUGCGCGUUAGGUGUAUCGGUGACCACGAGUUACCGAGGUGCCGAAGGGAAACCGUGAAACGUGCCGCCUGGGAAGUACGGUCGCAAGGCUGAAACUUAAAGGAAUUGGCGGGGGAGCA